GGCGACCGGCGCACGGGUGAGUAACACGUAUCCAACCUGCCGUCUACUCUUGGACAGCCUUCUGAAAGGAAGAUUAAUACAAGAUGGCAUCAUGAGUCCGCAUGUUCACAUGAUUAAAGGUAUUCCGGUAGACGAUGGGGAUGCGUUCCAUUAGAUAGUAGGCGGGGUAACGGCCCACCUAGUCUUCGAUGGAUAGGGGUUCUGAGAGGAAGGUCCCCCACAUUGGAACUGAGACACGGUCCAAACUCCUACGGGAGGCAGCAGUGAGGAAUAUUGGUCAAUGGGCGAGAGCCUGAACCAGCCAAGUAGCGUGAAGGAUGACUGCCCUAUGGGUUGUAAACUUCUUUUAUAAAGGAAUAAAGUCGGGUAUGGAUACCCGUUUGCAUGUACUUUAUGAAUAAGGAUCGGCUAACUCCGUGCCAGCAGCCGCGGUAAUACGGAGGAUCCGAGCGUUAUCCGGAUUUAUUGGGUUUAAAGGGAGCGUAGAUGGAUGUUUAAGUCAGUUGUGAAAGUUUGCGGCGCAACCGUAAAAUUGCAGUUGAUACUGGAUAUCUUGAGUGCAGUUGAGGCAGGCGGAAUUCGUGGUGUAGCGGUGAAAUGCUUAGAUAUCACGAAGAACUCCGAUUGCGAAGGCAGCCUGCUAAGCUGCAACUGACAUUGAGGCUCGAAAGUGUGGGUAUCAAACAGGAUUAGAUACCCUGGUAGUCCACACGGUAAACGAUGAAUACUCGCUGUUUGCGAUAUACUGCAAGCGGCCAAGCGAAAGCGUUAAGUAUUCCACCUGGGGAGUACGCCGGCAACGGUGAAACUCAAAGGAAUUGACGGGGGCCCGCACAAGCGGAGGAACAUGUGGUUUAAUUCGAUGAUACGCGAGGAACCUUACCCGGGCUUAAAUUGCAGAUGAAUUACGGUGAAAGCCGUAAGCCGCAAGGCAUCUGUGAAGGUGCUGCAUGGUUGUCGUCAGCUCGUGCCGUGAGGUGUCGGCUUAAGUGCCAUAACGAGCGCAACCCUUGUUGUCAGUUACUAACAGGUUCCGCUGAGGACUCUGACAAGACUGCCAUCGUAAGAUGUGAGGAAGGUGGGGAUGACGUCAAAUCAGCACGGCCCUUACGUCCGGGGCUACACACGUGUUACAAUGGGGGGUACAGAGGGCCGCUACCACGCGAGUGGAUGCCAAUCCCCAAAACCUCUCUCAGUUCGGACUGGAGUCUGCAACCCGACUCCACGAAGCUGGAUUCGCUAGUAAUCGCGCAUCAGCCACGGCGCGGUGAAUACGUUCCCGGGCCUUGUACACACCGCCCGUCAAGCCAUGGGAGCCGGGGGUACCUGAAGUGCGUAACCGCGAGGAGCGCCCUAGGGUAAAACUGGUGA
This 1371-nucleotide ribosomal RNA is filed under the name uncultured organism. RNAcentral's name for it is "16S ribosomal RNA". It matches the Rfam family "Bacterial small subunit ribosomal RNA". The record is from RNAcentral.